RNAcentral lists this unclassified non-coding RNA (387 nucleotides) under soil metagenome. RNAcentral's name for it is "partial contains 5.8S ribosomal RNA, internal transcribed spacer 2, and large subunit ribosomal RNA". The stretch from base 1 to 120 matches the Rfam family "5.8S ribosomal RNA", at positions 35 to 154 of the family's 154-position model. The record is from RNAcentral.
GAUGAAGAACGUAGCGAAAUGCGAUAAGUAAUGUGAAUUGCAGAAUUCAGUGAAUCAUCGAAUCUUUGAACGCACCUUGCAUCCUUUGGCAUUCCGAAGGGUAUGCUCGUUUGAGUGUCAUUGUACUCUCACACUCUCCGAUCCUAUGGAUUCGGGGAGCGGUGGACUUGGGUGUUGCUGCCUUUCCUUGUGGCUCACCUCAAAUGUGUCAGUGCACCUCUUGGUUGGACAUAGUACGGCGUGAUAAGUGUCUUCGCCGGCACCUCGCAAGAGGGUGGCCGAUCGGGAGCUCUGUGCUUUCAAACCGUCUUCGGACAAUUUCUGACAACUUGACCUCAAAUCGAGUAGGACUACCCGCUGAACUUAAGCAUAUCAAUAAGCGGAGGA